GUACACUCCUGCGGGAGGCAGCAGUGGGGAAUUUUGGACAAUGGGCGAAAGCCUGAUCCAGCAAUGCCGCGUGAGUGAAGAAGGCCUUCGGGUUGUAAAGCUCUUUUGUCAGGGAAGAAACGGUGAAAGCUAAUAUCUUUUGCUAAUGACGGUACCUGAAGAAUAAGCACCGGCUAACUACGUGCCAGCAGCCGCGGUAAUACGUAGGGUGCAAGCGUUAAUCGGAAUUACUGGGCGUAAAGCGUGCGCAGGCGGUUUUGUAAGUCUGAUGUGAAAUCCCCGGGCUCAACCUGGGAAUUGCAUUGGAGACUGCAAGGCUAGAAUCUGGCAGAGGGGGGUAGAAUUCCACGUGUAGCAGUGAAAUGCGUAGAUAUGUGGAGGAACACCGAUGGCGAAGGCAGCCCCCUGGGUCAAGAUUGACGCUCAUGCACGAAAGCGUGGGGAGCAAAGAGGAUUAGAAACCCUUGUAGUCCCAGG
This 477-nucleotide ribosomal RNA is filed under the name uncultured organism. RNAcentral describes it as "partial 16S ribosomal RNA". It matches the Rfam family "Bacterial small subunit ribosomal RNA", at positions 331 to 799 of the family's 1533-position model. The record is from RNAcentral.